AUAGUACUCCCUCCGUCCCAAAAUUCUUGUCUUAAAUUUAUCUAGAUAUGGAUGUAUCUAAUACUAAAACGUGACUUGAUACAUUGGUAUUUAGACAAAUCUAAGACAAUAAUUUUGGGACGGAGGGAGUAUAAA
Triticum urartu is the source of this 135-nucleotide non-coding RNA. The record is from Rfam. NCBI's taxonomy places the organism in Eukaryota, Viridiplantae, Streptophyta, Magnoliopsida, Poales, Poaceae.